AAACCACACUCGCAGUCAACAGAA
Molecule: small nuclear RNA, 24 nt
Filed under: Arabidopsis thaliana (thale cress)
Lineage: Eukaryota; Viridiplantae; Streptophyta; Magnoliopsida; Brassicales; Brassicaceae
Description: snRNA_15131
Source: RNAcentral